AUUUUCCAUCUUCAAAAAGAAAAAAAAUAGAACCAUAUGGAUGAAAAAGUUCGGGGUUAGCCUUGGCUAUAGGUGGACCAAAACCGAUUAACCAUACAUUUGGCCACCAACCCCGGAUCACUGCAAACGAAAAAGUAUGGGGAUGCUCCCCGGCAUUGAAUAUGUAUCACUAUUAACGUCACCAGAUUGAAAUGUACCGGCUAGAUGAAGACUAUUUGAUCAGCUAGUUACUUCUAUCGAAUAAAGUGGCCAAAACCAACUCAUUAUAGGUCAUGAUAUAGUAAGCAGGAAGUAUUGGAAUAUGUGGAGAGAAAACUGUGAAAACUGCUUUUUCUGUUUAUAGUUGGUUUAUAGAGGAAGUAUUAGGAAACUGGGGCACAACAAUAAUACGUGUUCCACAACUUUCAGCGCGGGUGUGUCUUCUUUUCCUGCUUGAGAUAGCGCUAUGUCACUGUUCCUCAUUUGAAGAUUUGUUUUGAUCAAAAAUAUGUUCAACUCUUUUUCACCGGCUUUCUCUUUUUAUAUUUAAUACAUAUUUGUUCCAAUACUCGGUGCGUCUUCUUAGCCGCCGAAGUGAGAUUUCAGAAUCAUCAACGUGAAAGGGUAAAAACAGUUAGGAUAGUAUAUAUGUAUAUAUAAAUUUAAUUACAUACUUCAAUAAGGAAUGGUAUAGAUUUUUCGUGGAUAAUA
This 690-nucleotide small RNA is filed under the name Saccharomyces mikatae IFO 1815. RNAcentral's name for it is "RNA of unknown function 21". It matches the Rfam family "RNA of unknown function 21". The record is from Rfam by way of RNAcentral. Lineage: Eukaryota; Fungi; Ascomycota; Saccharomycetes; Saccharomycetales; Saccharomycetaceae.